Molecule: transfer RNA, 72 nt
Organism: Monoraphidium neglectum
Lineage: Eukaryota; Viridiplantae; Chlorophyta; Chlorophyceae; Sphaeropleales; Selenastraceae
Rfam family: tRNA
About the family: Transfer RNA (tRNA) molecules are approximately 80 nucleotides in length. Their secondary structure includes four short double-helical elements and three loops (D, anti-codon, and T loops).
Source: Rfam
GGGGCAUUGGUCUAGUGGUAUGAUACUCGCUUAGGGUGCGAGUGGUCGGCGGUUCGAUUCCGCCAUGCCCCC